Molecule: ribosomal RNA, 427 nt
Filed under: uncultured bacterium
Lineage: Bacteria
Description: bacterial SSU rRNA
Rfam family: Bacterial small subunit ribosomal RNA
Source: RNAcentral
UGGGGAAUUUUGGACAAUGGACGCAAGUCUGAUCCAGCCAUGCCGCGUGCGGGAAGAAGGCCUUCGGGUUGUAAACCGCUUUUGUCAGGGAAGAAACGCUCUGGGCUAAUACCCUGGGGUAAUGACGGUACCUGAAGAAUAAGCACCGGCUAACUUCGUGCCAGCAGCCGCGGUAAUACGAAGGGUGCAAGCGUUACUCGGAAUUACUGGGCGUAAAGCGUGCGUAGGUGGUUGUUUAAGUCUGCUGUGAAAGCCCUGGGCUCAACCUGGGAACUGCAUUUGUGACUGUAUAGCUAGAGUACGGCAGAGGGGGAUGGAAUUCCGCGUGUAGCAGUGAAAUGCGUAGAUAUGCGGAGGAACACCGAUGGCGAAGGCAAUCCCCUGGGCCUGUACUGACGCUCAUGCACGAAAGCGUGGGGAGCAAACA